Long non-coding RNA from Xiphophorus maculatus (southern platyfish), 390 nucleotides. RefSeq lists it as uncharacterized. NCBI's taxonomy places the organism in Eukaryota, Metazoa, Chordata, Actinopteri, Cyprinodontiformes, Poeciliidae. The record is from RefSeq and is a predicted model, not a curated record. The transcript has 4 exons.
UCUACAAAACGUUCAGCAUCUGUCAAAGCAAUGGAGAAAAUCUAUAUGAAUGUUCAUCCUGUGAAAGCUGUCUGUCAAAUUCCUGUUAGAAAAAAUGAAGGUUCUGGCAGCUCUAAGAAGAGGCUCUAUGUGGGUGUUAUCAUCUCUCUGGGGCUUCUGAAUGUUUUCCUGCUGAUUGGACUCAUCAGCCUUGGUGUUUUCUACAAUCUGACUGAUCGUCUCCAGGACAGCAAUAACCAGCUUUCUGCAAUGAUUGAAGAAAGAGAUCGUCUGAAUGCAACCCUCACAGAAAUGUCUAACGAGAUGAUCAGGCUUCAGAGUUUGUUGAAGAAAACCAGAGAAGACUGCAGGAACAGAGGAGGAGAUCUGGUGGUGAUAAAUGACGAUGAU